RNAcentral lists this ribosomal RNA (483 nucleotides) under Triticum aestivum (bread wheat). RNAcentral's name for it is "partial small subunit ribosomal RNA". Lineage: Eukaryota; Viridiplantae; Streptophyta; Magnoliopsida; Poales; Poaceae. The record is from RNAcentral.
AUGCCACGUGCUGAUGGUCCCUUUAAGGUGUUAGAGAAAAUAAAUGAUAAUGCAUAUAAACUUGAGCUGCCUGCAGAUUUUGGGGUUAGUCCCACUUUUAACAUUGCAGAUUUGAAGCCUUAUUUGGGUGAGGAAGAUGAACUUCCAUCGAGGACGACUUCAUUUCAAGAAGGGGAGGAUGAUGAGGACAUCAAUACAAUUGUUACACCCACAGCCCCUGCUGCUAUACAUACUGGACCAAUUACUAGAGCUCGUGCACGCCAACUAAAUUACCAGGUACUUUCGUUUCUUGGUAAUGAUUCUAAUGUUCAUGAGAAUAUGAUGCUGCCUAAAUUGGAUACAUUUGUUUUGCUUACAAAUGAAGGGCCUAGCUUAGAGAAGGAUGAACAUUGGAGCAAGAACAAGCAUGGAGAUGAUGGCAUGCGCAAGGGGAACAAGAACGGAGUUACAAGUGAUGAUUUCAGGACUUUGAAGCCACCAUAA